UACGGGGGGGGCAAGCGUUGUUCGGAAUUACUGGGCGUAAAGGGCGCGUAGGCGGCCUUCUAAGUCGGACGUGAAAUCCCUGGGCUCAACCCAGGAACUGCGUCCGAUACUGGUUGGCUUGAAUCCGGGAGAGGGAUGUGGAAUUCCAGGUGUAGCGGUGAAAUGCGUAGAUAUCUGGAGGAACACCGGUGGCGAAGGCGACAUCCUGGACCGGUAUUGACGCUGAGGCGCGAAAGCCAGGGGAGCAAACGGG
Molecule: ribosomal RNA, 253 nt
Filed under: uncultured bacterium
Lineage: Bacteria
Description: partial 16S ribosomal RNA
Rfam family: Bacterial small subunit ribosomal RNA
Source: RNAcentral